GACGAACGCUGGCGGCGUGCCUAAUACAUGCAAGUAGAACGCACAGUUUAUACCGUAGCUUGCUACACCAUAGACUGUGAGUUGCGAACGGGUGAGUAACGCGUAGGUAACCUGCCUGGUAGCGGGGGAUAACUAUUGGAAACGAUAGCUAAUACCGCAUAAUAUUGAUUAUUGCAUGAUAAUUGAUUGAAAGAUGCUAUUGCAUCACUACCAGAUGGACCUGCGUUGUAUUAGCUAGUAGGUGAGGUAACGGCCCACCUAGGCGACGAUACAUAGCCGACCUGAGAGGGUGAUCGGCCACACUGGGACUGAGACACGGCCCAGACUCCUACGGGAGGCAGCAGUAGGGAAUCUUCGGCAAUGGACGAAAGUCUGACCGAGCAACGCCGCGUGAGUGAAGAAGGUUUUCGGAUCGUAAAGCUCUGUUGUAAGAGAAGAACGGGUGUGAGAGUGGAAAGUUCACACUGUGACGGUAUCUUACCAGAAAGGGACGGCUAACUACGUG
RNAcentral lists this ribosomal RNA (505 nucleotides) under uncultured bacterium. Its description in RNAcentral is "partial 16S ribosomal RNA". It matches the Rfam family "Bacterial small subunit ribosomal RNA", at positions 28 to 507 of the family's 1533-position model. The record is from RNAcentral.